This 677-nucleotide ribosomal RNA is filed under the name Salinispora tropica. RNAcentral's name for it is "bacterial SSU rRNA". It matches the Rfam family "Bacterial small subunit ribosomal RNA", at positions 77 to 770 of the family's 1533-position model. The record is from RNAcentral. Lineage: Bacteria; Bacillati; Actinomycetota; Actinomycetes; Micromonosporales; Micromonosporaceae.
CCUUCGGGGUACUCGAGCGGCGAACGGGUGAGUAACACGUGAGUAACCUGCCCUAGGCUUUGGGAUAACCCCGGGAAACCGGGGCUAAUACCGGAUAUGACUGGCUGCCGCAUGGUGGUUGGUGGAAAGAUUUUUCGGCUUGGGAUGGACUCGCGGCCUAUCAGCUUGUUGGUGGGGUAAUGGCCUACCAAGGCGGCGACGGGUAGCCGGCCUGAGAGGGCGACCGGCCACACUGGGACUGAGACACGGCCCAGACUCCUACGGGAGGCAGCAGUGGGGAAUCUUGCACAAUGGGCGGAAGCCUGAUGCAGCGACGCCGCGUGAGGGAUGACGGCCUUCGGGUUGUAAACCUCUUUCAGCAGGGACGAAGCGUUUGUGACGGUACCUGCAGAAGAAGCGCCGGCCAACUACGUGCCAGCAGCCGCGGUAAGACGUAGGGCGCGAGCGUUGUCCGGAUUUAUUGGGCGUAAAGAGCUCGUAGGCGGCUUGUCGCGUCGACUGUGAAAACCCGUGGCUCAACUGCGGGCUUGCAGUCGAUACGGGCAGGCUAGAGUUCGGUAGGGGAGACUGGAAUUCCUGGUGUAGCGGUGAAAUGCGCAGAUAUCAGGAGGAACACCGGUGGCGAAGGCGGGUCUCUGGGCCGAUACUGACGCUGAGGAGCGAAAGCGUGGGGAGCG